GACGGGGGGUGCAAGCGUUGUUCGGAAUCAUUGGGCGUAAAGCGUGUGCAGGUGGCUCUGCAAGUCAGAUGUGAAAGCCCCGGGCUUAACCCGGGAAGUGCAUUUGAAACUGCAAAGCUUGAGUAUGGAAGAGGGUCGUGGAAUUCCUGGUGUAGUGGUGAAAUACGUAGAUAUCAGGAGGAACACCGGUGGCGAAGGCGGCGACCUGGUCCAAUACUGACACUCAUACACGAAAGCGUGGGGAUCAAACAGG
This 253-nucleotide ribosomal RNA is filed under the name uncultured prokaryote. RNAcentral describes it as "partial 16S ribosomal RNA". It matches the Rfam family "Bacterial small subunit ribosomal RNA", at positions 524 to 776 of the family's 1533-position model. The record is from RNAcentral.